CUGCUGGAUUUUGCAGGUCACAGAGGCUGGAGUCCUGGCCAGCAACUCAAAACCAGACUCCUCCACAGGUCUGGCCUCGCUGACUUUUAGUCUCUGAGGAGCCAGCCUCUGCACCAUAGGGGUGACAAUAGAGUCUUCGUGGCCAAAUAAAAGCGAUCCAGGGUCUCUGCUUUCCCUGAGAAAACUCCAUCCAAGGAGACUGCAAGAGCAGUGUGUUCGCAUCCAGAAUUUGCAGCUACUCUGGAAAAAAGAAGAGAAACCAACCCAAACCCAACCAAAACUACAAAAAUACAUGAAAUCCUUACAGCAAAAAUGAUGGGCAUUUCUGAUUAGAGAUACUGAAUGAAGAGUAGUGCUGUCCCUGAAAUCACGUCUGGAUCACCCCUCUCAGUUGAUGCUGCUAACCUUGGAGACUGAAGGAAAUUUGGAAAAGGGAACUGAAGUCUCACAAUUUGGAAGUCUCCCUUGAAAGAAGUGUUGAGGACAGGUUUACCUUUUGCUCACAUAGAGAAUCUCAUCUAGAAUAAGGAGUCUCUCAUCUCCAGGAUAAGAUCCAGGGUGAUGUCCAUCGCACUUUAUGUACACAUUGGAGUUUCCAUUAAGGGCUUGGUGAACCAGCUAUACAUUCAACCUUGUGGAUAUACUUCUAUAGCUACUUGAACCACAGGAUUCCAGAGCCGACAACUUUCAGGAUCUAAGAAAUGGUGACCACCAAAAGCCUUAUUGUGAUCCUAAAACAGAACACUGGCACCUGGGUGAUUCAAAAGGGAAGAUUUAUUGCUCACAGUGUGAGAUUCUGGACAGACCACUAAGAACCCACAUAUAAUGAGAGCAUUCUUACUAUAUCUGAUGCCAGAAGACUAAAUGGGAAGAAAAUUCAUGGAGGAUCAAGAGCGAGGGAAACUGACUUUUUAAAAAAAAAUAACUCAACAGCUCCCACAACAAAAAUUAGGAUUAUAGAAGCCUUUGUUCUCAAGGUUAAUCACCUCUCCAAUCUGCCUCAUUUUAACAAUCCUUCAUUGGUGAUUAAUAUCUAACACCUGCUUGCCAAGGGCAUGUUCUGCUGUGGAUAUCUGUAUGCUAUGAAUGUGUUGCUCUGAUUGGUUAAUAAAUAAAGUGCUGAUUGGCCAGUAGCUAGGCAGGAAGUAUAGGUGGGACAAAGAAGAGAAUUCUGAGAAG
Non-coding RNA from Peromyscus maniculatus bairdii (prairie deer mouse), 1179 nucleotides. Lineage: Eukaryota; Metazoa; Chordata; Mammalia; Rodentia; Cricetidae. The record is from RefSeq and is a predicted model, not a curated record.